CCGACUUAGCUCAGUAGGUAGAGCAACUGACUUGUAAUCAGUAGGUCACCAGUUCGAUUCCGGUAGUCGG
Molecule: transfer RNA, 70 nt
Filed under: Vibrio cholerae
Lineage: Bacteria; Pseudomonadati; Pseudomonadota; Gammaproteobacteria; Vibrionales; Vibrionaceae
Description: tRNA-Thr
Rfam family: tRNA
About the family: Transfer RNA (tRNA) molecules are approximately 80 nucleotides in length. Their secondary structure includes four short double-helical elements and three loops (D, anti-codon, and T loops). Further hydrogen bonds mediate the characteristic L-shaped molecular structure. tRNAs have two regions of fundamental functional importance: the anti-codon, which is responsible for specific mRNA codon recognition, and the 3' end, to which the tRNAs corresponding amino acid is attached (by aminoacyl-tRNA synthetases). tRNAs cope with the degeneracy of the genetic code in two manners: having more than one tRNA (with a specific anti-codon) for a particular amino acid; and 'wobble' base-pairing, i.e. permitting non-standard base-pairing at the 3rd anti-codon position.
Source: RNAcentral